GACAUAUACAGGAAUAUGGCAGAAAUGUCAUAGCCGCAAGGUCUGUAUACAGGUGGUGCAUGGUUGUCGUCAGCUCGUGUCGUGAGAUGUUGGGUUAAGUCCCGCAACGAGCGCAACCCUCGUUCUGUGUUGCCAGCAUUUAGUUGGGGACUCACAGGAGACUGCCGGGGUUAACUCGGAGGAAGGUGGGGAUGACGUCAAAUCAUCAUGCCCCUUAUGUCUUGGGCUGCACGCAUGCUACAAUGGCUGGUACAAACGGCUGCGAUACCGCAAGGUGGAGCGAAUCCGAUAAAGCCAGUCUCAGUUCGGAUUGGGGUCUGCAACUCGACCCCAUGAAGUCGGAGUUGCUAGUGAUCGUAGAUCAGCAACGCUACGGUGAAUACGUUCCCGGGGCUUGUACACACCGCCCGUCACGUCACGAA
Molecule: ribosomal RNA, 422 nt
Filed under: uncultured Actinomycetes bacterium
Lineage: Bacteria; Bacillati; Actinomycetota; Actinomycetes
Description: bacterial SSU rRNA
Rfam family: Bacterial small subunit ribosomal RNA
Source: RNAcentral